Molecule: ribosomal RNA, 253 nt
Filed under: uncultured bacterium
Lineage: Bacteria
Description: partial 16S ribosomal RNA
Rfam family: Bacterial small subunit ribosomal RNA
Source: RNAcentral
UACGUAGGGGGCAAGCGUUGUCCGGAAUUACUGGGCGUAAAGCGCGUGUAGGCGGGACGGCAAGUCGGACGUGAAAGGCUCGGGCUCAACCCGAGAUGGCCGUUCGAAACUGCCGUUCUUGAGGGUCGAAGAGGAGAGUGGAAUUCCUGGUGUAGCGGUGAAAUGCGUAGAGAUCAGGAGGAACACCGGUGGCGAAGGCGGAUCUCUGGGCCUUACCUGACGCUGAGGCGCGAAAGCUAGGGGAGCAAACAGG